CUUCAACUUAUUCCAUGCGUUUGAAGUCAAAGAUGAUGAUGAUUCUUUGUUCGCCGAAGAGACGUCUGUUGAUAGACAGCAAGGCGUUUCUGGCUGCCUCCUUUCGACCUUUUACCAGCAACCAUCCGGGACUUUCGGGAAUGAUAAAAAUGCAGAACACAAACAAUAAUGAGGGAAUAAUGCAAAAUAUUGCUAUUAGUUUCCAACUGUCCUAAAACAAUAUACGCAAUUUGUGAAAUCCAAGAAGAUACACGUAAAAAAUUCCUAUUGACAUACUUGCGAUAGGGACAGCUGUGAGACAUUCUUUCCACGAUGAUAUAGCAAUUUCUCCUAUAUAAACGGUGAAAAACAAGUUCAGAUUGUUUGGAGAAGACUCGGAUUUACGCGUCAAAGUAAAUAACCUUCUUUUUAUGUCAAGCUUCUUUUACUUCUACAUUUAUACCUCAAUAACAUGUGUGUGUUACAUCAUUGGCCAAGUUCAAUAACAUUGUU
Pseudomyrmex gracilis is the source of this 492-nucleotide long non-coding RNA. RefSeq lists it as uncharacterized. The record is from RefSeq and is a predicted model, not a curated record. The transcript has 4 exons. NCBI's taxonomy places the organism in Eukaryota, Metazoa, Arthropoda, Insecta, Hymenoptera, Formicidae.